CGCCGGCUGCGGCUCGGCGGAAGGGGCGGGGUAGCCGUUGCCAGAGAAGCUACUUGAUGGUUACUAGCUCCGUUUUCGUCCAGUUGCACCUGGAUGGGCACUCUUCCACACAAGCCGUUCUAGGAAUUCGCCUGCUUGCCACCUCGCGUCCUUUGACUUCUUUUCUAGCUUUCACCUACUGCACUUCCCCCUGCGUCCCGCUCUCUCCUAGCCGACCCAGGGCUGGAGAGCACAGUGGAAAGCAGGACAUCCUAAAUGAAAAGACUGAACUGGAAGCAACAUUUAAGGAAGCUGAAUUGGCAACCUGUUCUGUAGAAUUAUUUUUGCCAUUAUUUAAGGAUACCGUUGAAGAGAUUAGUUUUGAAAAUGCUAAUCUUUUUGCAUUCAAUUUGAAGAUUGCUAAACAGAAGGAAAAAUUAACAAAAGAAUUAGACACUUUUAAACAUGUAAAACAAGCUUUAGAACAUCUUAGAAAGACAGAAUACCAACAAGUAGAGGACAGUUUAUCCAGCAUGUUAGAGAAGCUAACUGAUAAUGAAAAUGAAAAUACUAAUCUUAAGAAGAAGCUACUUGAAAAGGAGACCUAUAUUCAAGAACUUUCUUGUUUGUUUCAGAAUGAACAGGCAAAUGCUUUGAAAGCAAACCGUUUUUCACAAUCAGUAAAAGUAGUACAUGAACGACUACAGCUCCAAAUUCGUAAAAAGGAAGCAGAGAAUGAUAAAUUAAAAGAAUAUAUAAAGAGCUUAGAAACCAAGAUAACUGAAUGGAACUUAGAACUGAGAAAGAGUAAGCAUGAAGCUGUAGCAAUGAAAGAAUCAAGUAGGCAAAAAACUAUAGCUCUAAAAAAGGCAUCUAAAAUUUACAAACAAAGGCUUAAACACUUUACUGGAGACAUGGAAAACCUUACUUCCCAAAUUGGAGAUCGGGAAGCCAAGCUGUCCGAAACAAUUUCAGCUUCCAAUGCCUGGAAAAGUCAUUAUGAGAAAAUUGUAAUAGAAAAAACUGAAUUGGAAGUUCAGAUUGAAACAAUGAAAAAGCAAAUUACUAAUCUUUUGGAAGACCUGAAGAAAGUAGAAGACGUUGGUAAAAAUUCAUGUGAAGAAAUUCUUAGAAAACUUCACUCAGUUGAAUAUGAAAAUGAAACUCUGAAUCUUGAGAAUACAAAGUUAAAGACUACCCUUGCUGCUUUGAAGGAUGAGGUUGUUUCUGUUGAAAAUGAACUCUUAGAAUUGCAAGAAGUAGAAAAACAACAGAAAGCCCUUAUUGAAGUAUAUAAAACUCAGAUACAAAAGUUGCAAGAAGCAGCUGAAAUGGUGAAAAGCAGAUGUGAAAAUUUGCUACAUGAAAAUAACCUAAUAACAAAAAACAAAAAUAAAAAGUUAGAGAAGAUGAGAGGCCAGACGGAGUCUCAUCUGAAGGAGUUAGAGCACGUCCGCGAUUCGGUGACGGCGGCGGAACGGAGGCUUCACGAGUGUCAGGAGAGUGUGCAGCACUACAGGGAGAGAUGUGCGGACAAGGUGCACACCGUUAGGGAGCUUCAGGGCCAGGUUGAUGGAAAUCAUAAUCUUCUAAAAAAGCUUUCUUUGGAAGAGGAAAAUUAUCUUAUUCAGUUGAAGUGUGAAAACCUUAAACAAAAAUUAGAACAGAUGGAUGCAGAAAAUAAAGAGCUUGAAAAGAAACUGGCAAACCAAGAAGAAUGUCUUAAGCACAGCAAUCUUAAGUUUGAAGAGAAAUCUGCAGAACAUACAGCAUUGGCCAGACAGCUGGAAGCUGCUUUAGAAGAAGGAAGACAAAAGCUUGGAAAAGGAAUAAUGGGGCUGAGAUCUAUGUUAUUCUGAAGCUUGAGUAUCUAGGAGUGGCCAGAGUUUAAAUAGAAGCAUUUGGAAAAUUUCAGGUCAGCCCAAAGUCAAAUCAUGACAGGAGCAUAGCACAUUGAGAAACCAUCUCACUGAUAUUGUUCUAGGUUCUUUUUAUAAAUCAUCUCUAACUACCCUGGAAGGAUAGUAUGAAGAACCUGAGACUUGGAGAAUUAAUUUACCACCCAAGGACAGUGAGUGGAUUUGGCACUGGGAGCUUGGAACCUCUCAGCUCCUUCCUCCUGCCACCUCCCUGUGACAAGUUCUUGGCCAGUCUGUACUUCAUCCCCUGGCACCGCAAGCCUCCAUGGUCCAGCUACGUUAGCCUCCCGGGCGUGGCAGUGAGAACGCGGAAGACGGAGAUUGGUUCUGGACGUCUGGCCGUGGAAGUGACAGCACUGACAGGUGGCCCAUCCUCUGGACUGGGGUGGCAGGCCUUGGGAAAGAGAGAUGCCUGACUGGACUCCGGGAGGUUUCGGUCCUGCAGCAGGUGAGAAAGGAAACCCAGCAGCCAGUGUGCAGAAUUGUGGGCAGGGCCCCUGCGCGCGGGAGAGGAGUGUCUGCACUCAUAACCUGAGUGCCCCCGCCAUUCUGGGAGUGUGACAUUAAAUGACAAAGAAGGAAAAAAAAAAUCCACCCUGACAAGUUGUGGGAAAGACCACAGAAAGAAGGAAAUUUUUUUUCCUGCCUUUUGUGAAAGGCCCACGCAUUUUCAUUUACAGCAAGGAGGUUGGAAUGGAUAGUGAGAAAGACAGCCUGCUUUCUCUGCCACGAUUACCUACAUCGUGACUCUGGCAAGAGUUGUACCCCGUUUGUACACUAGACUCCAUGGAGCAGGGCUGGAUCUGGCUCAACACUCUUUUAUCCCCAGUUCAGGAUACAGGAACCUGUCACAUAGUAAGAUCCCAAUAUUUGCAGAAUUAAAUUGUUAAUCAUCCAUUUUUUAUAUGUUCAGGUUAUUAACCUGUAUAUCUAACGGUGUAUUUUCUCCCGCCACAGUUUAUAUUAACUGGAGAUCUUCACUAAUGGUAACAAAUUCAUAUUCAAAUACAGUGGGUUAGUUGGAAAAAAUAGGUAUAUGAAUUAUACUCAGUGAUUUCAUGUACUGGGCAGAGCUAAUACAAAUAUGGUACCAUAUGUCCAUUGUGCUUAGUGAAUUAAAUCACUUAUUAUGCCAUUAUGAAAACAUUAAUAAUGUUUACCCAGCCACAGAAACCACCAAUAUGAAAUUAAAUUCCUACUAGUCUUCAUCUUUUGAAUUUCACAAACUGGAAUUAAUUUCAAAGGGAACAUGCCUGGCUGAAGUGUAUUAAGAGUGGGGAAAAAUCACUGAAAAUUCUAUGGAAAAAUUAGUUUGAUUUAAAACAGGAAUGCUCUGAGCAGAAUCAGACUUUUCAUAUACUUCUCACCAUCUCCAAAAUGGAAAGUAAGAGUAUUUCUACCAAAAGGUUUUAAUUAAAAAGGAUUUUGGCAUGUGUGUGUGUAUAAAAAUAUCUCUUAAUUACAAAGAUAUAAAGUUAAAGCUUUUACCUGAGAUUUAAUUAAUAGUCUCAAUUGUGUAGCUAUGGAUUAAAUGAUGGUGAGGAUGGCUGGGAAAUUGUCGGAUGAUCAGAUCAUCCAGAGCAAUUCAGGAAGCAAAACUAUACCUCCCAGAACUUAUCGGGCUCUCCAAGAAGUGGUAGGGGCAGAGGGCUUACUCCAAAGAUUCUUUAAAUUUAUAGGAUCAAAGAGGUUGUUGGAAUCUCUGGCCUUAGAUGUUUUGUUCAGGGGCUGCAUCAUGGAAAUCUGGCCUGACAGCCUGACAGGUCCUGAAUUAGAUCUAGUUAUAACUCAGAGCAUAUGAGUUACUUAAUGGGAAUCAAUGAGGCAAUUGUGUGAGUAUCUGGUUGUGAUAGCCUACAGGCACAGUCUGGCCCUUGGGCCUAAAUAGGAAAUAAGGGAAUUCUGGUUCAUUCAGGAAAGGUGGAACAGAGAAUGUUGACUUUAAUUAUCCUGAUAAUUUUGUCUUUCAUAUCAGUUUGACUACAGGAUUUAUCCUAAUCUAUUGUGCCUCCAAAUUAAAUAGUUACAUUGACAAAGUGUAA
RNA transcript from Leopardus geoffroyi (Geoffroy's cat), 3940 nucleotides. It is a transcript of the gene named outer dense fiber of sperm tails 2 like, with no coding region annotated. Lineage: Eukaryota; Metazoa; Chordata; Mammalia; Carnivora; Felidae. The record is from RefSeq and is a predicted model, not a curated record. The transcript is spliced from 18 exons.